This is a long non-coding RNA of Gorilla gorilla gorilla (western lowland gorilla), 1929 nucleotides long. RefSeq lists it as uncharacterized. Lineage: Eukaryota; Metazoa; Chordata; Mammalia; Primates; Hominidae. The record is from RefSeq and is a predicted model, not a curated record. The transcript has 4 exons.
GUGUGGGUGGGCCUGGUGCGUGGGGUUGAAGCUUCAGAAACUCCAGUAGUGCAGAAAUGUUCCCACCAAGCACUGUCUUUAAUAGAAAAAAACAAGGAACGACAUAUAUUUGCACUGACAGAAGAAACGUCUCCAGUGACAGGAGAGACCGUCGCGGUGCCGGAGCGGGUUGGGAUGGAAUUCGCGGUGACCCAGGCACUGACUGGCACGCGUGGCUGCGUGCGGGCACCGAGGAGCCGAUGGAACUAGCGCGUAGAGCGCCGUUCACGCGGAGCUCCAAACUCUACAAGGAAGCCCCGAGAUGGAGACAAUGAAAAACAAGCACACGGUUCACGCUGGGGUCCCUUCGAGCCGCAGGAAAGGCUGGACUCAAAUUCCUUGGCUCAAGUGAUCCUCCCACCUCCUCAGCCUCCCAAAGUGCUGGAAUUACAGGCGUGAGUUGCUGCACCCAGCCUGCUCAGUGACGUUGAUGUUAGCCAGAUUCCAUCUUAUCUAUGGAAAACGGAAGCACAACAGGUGAAGUUGCCUGCCAAGUCAGCCAGCUGAUGGAGUUUUACUCUUAUCACCCAAGCUGGAGUGCAAUGGCAUGAUCUCCGCUCACUACAACCUCUGCUUCCUGAGUUCAAGUGGCUGCUUCCUCUGUACACCUCACCCCAAAUCUGAAAGCUCUUGGAAGGAGCAGUGCCUCAUACACACCACAGCCAUUCUGGUGCCGGGUUGGAGCAGCUGCACAUUUAUGAACGCCUGCCCAUUGCCUGAUCUCAGGGUGCCACUGAGGACGAGGGGCCUGUGCACAGCACGCGUGUGAUGUGCACUUCUGGGUCACAAGAGUCCUGGGGAGACUCCAGAGGAAAAACCACCCAUAGGCACUAUGCCAUGACCACACCCAUGGGGAACAGGACAGUUGUGACUCAGUCACCAGGAAGAACGCUGGCCAGAGAUGAGAGAUUCUGAAGGUGAUUUUCUUUCCCUGACCUGAUGAGCCAGAGCUCGGGCCACUGCGCUGUCUCCCGGGGCCAGCAAAGAGAACUCCACCUGCAGAGGACCAGAGCCUUGGAAUGGAAGGCUGCAGCUUGCAGGGGCUUCUAUUAGGGACACAGAGGGCCAAACACCAAUAAACUGCCCUCUGCUUGCUGCCAUUAGGGUCAACAGAAUCAGUGCUGCGGGGACCAACUCAGCCUGACCCACUGUGGACAGUGCCCUGCUCACGGUACUGGGAAGAUACCAACAUUUGUGAAAUAUGAGGCACAUUGUUUUCUAUACAUUUGGGGGAAAAUGGCAACUGUAAAAAUGACAUAAUAGGCCGGACUUGGUGGCUCACGCCUGUAAUCCCAGUACUUUGGAGGCCGAGAAGGGCGCAUUGCUUGAGCCCAGGGUUUAAGACCAGCCUGGGCAAUAUCUCAGAACCCUAUCUCUAGAAAGAAUACAAAAAUUAGUUAGACAGCGGUGCCUGCCUGUGGUCCCAGCUACUUAGAAGGCUGAGGCGGAAGGAUCGCUUGAGCCUGGGAGGUGGAGGUUGCAGUGAACUGAGAUCCCACCACUGCACUCCAGCCUGGGGGACAGAGCCAGACAGUGUCUCAAAAAAAAAAAAAAAAAAAAAAAAAAAGUAGCAGAGGGUGCUGCUGGACAGACCUGCUGUCCUGUGUUGGUUCUUAUUACUGAUAUUAUUACCAGUGCCCACCUGCUGAUUCGGACUCUUAGCGACCCCUCCACAGCACUGUCCUGAGGGUGAAAUGAGAUCGGGGACAAAGUGCCACCAACUGGAAAAGGUUAACUCAGCACCAUCUGGCACCCACCAGAGCUUCCUACGCCGGGAGUGCGUCAGAACCAGCCGAGGGUGUGAAAGCGGACACUGUCACACUGUGGUAGGAUUCUAAAUCAUUCACUAUUUACAUGAGCACAGAAAUAAACUAGAAUAAGAUGUGUUAA